CUAGCAUAUCAAUAAGCGGAGGAAAAGAAACCAACAGGGAUUGCCCUAGUAACGGCGAGUGAAGCGGCAACAGCUCAAAUUUGAAAUCUGGCUCUUUUAGAGUCCGAGUUGUAAUUUGCAGAGGGCGCUUUGGCUUUGGCAGCGGUCCAAGUUCCUUGGAACAGGACGUCACAGAGGGUGAGAAUCCCGUACGUGGUCGCUGGCUAUUGCCGUGUAAAGCCCCUUCGACGAGUCGAGUUGUUUGGGAAUGCAGCUCUAAAUGGGAGGUACAUUUCUUCUAAAGCUAAAUAUUGGCCAGAGACCGAUAGCGCACAAGUAGAGUGAUCGAAAGAUGAAAAGCACUUUGGAAAGAGAGUCAAACAGCACGUGAAAUUGUUGAAAGGGAAGCGCUUGCAGCCAGACUUGCUUGCAGUUGCUCAUCCGGGCUUUUGCCCGGUGCACUCUUCUGUAGGCAGGCCAGCAUCAGUUUGGGCGGUAGGAUAAAGGUCUCUGUCACGUACCUCUCUUCGGGGAGGCCUUAUAGGGGAGGCGACAUACUACCAGCCUGGACUGAGGUCCGCGCAUCUGCUAGGAUGCUGGCGUAAUGGCUGUAAGCGGCCCGUCUUGAAACACGGACCAAGGAGUCUAACAUCUAUGCGAGUGUUUGGGUGUCAAGCCCGAGCGCGUAAUGAAAGUGAACGGAGGUAGGACCCCGCAAGGGUGCACUAUCGACCGAUCCUGAUGUCUUCGGAAGGAUUUGAGUAAGAGCAUGGCUGUUGGGACCCGAAAGAUGGUGAACUAUGCUUGAAUAGGGUGAAGCCAGAGGAAACUCUGGUGGAGGCUCGCAGCGGUUCUGACGUGCAAAUCGAUCGUCAAAUUUGGGCAUAGGGGCGAAAGACUAAUCGAACUAUCUAGUAGCUGGUUCCUGCCAA
RNAcentral lists this ribosomal RNA (911 nucleotides) under Alternaria limaciformis. RNAcentral's name for it is "LSU rRNA". It matches the Rfam family "Eukaryotic large subunit ribosomal RNA", at positions 34 to 964 of the family's 3401-position model. The record is from RNAcentral. Lineage: Eukaryota; Fungi; Ascomycota; Dothideomycetes; Pleosporales; Pleosporaceae.